CCUACGUGUGGCUGCAGUGGGGGAUAUUGCACAAUGGGCGCAAGCCUGAUGCAGCGACACCGCGUGAGCGAAGAAGUAUUUCGGUAUGUAAAGCUCUAUCAGCAGGGAAGAAAAUGACGGUACCUGACUAAGAAGCUCCGGCUAAAUACGUGCCAGCAGCCGCGGUAAUACGUAUGGAGCAAGCGUUAUCCGGAUUUACUGGGUGUAAAGGGAGCGUAGGCGGGACUGUAAGUCUGCUGGGAAAAUUUGGGGCUCAACCCCAAACGUGCAUUGGAAACUGCAGGGCUUGAGUGCCGGAGAGGCAGGCGGAAUGCCUGGUGUAGCGGUGAAAUGCGUAGAUAUUACGAAGAACACCGGUGGCGAAGGCAGCCUGCUGGACGGUAACUGACGCUGAGGCUCGAAAGCGUGGGGAGCAAACAGGAUUAGAUACCCCAGUAGUC
Molecule: ribosomal RNA, 440 nt
Filed under: uncultured bacterium
Lineage: Bacteria
Description: partial 16S ribosomal RNA
Rfam family: Bacterial small subunit ribosomal RNA
Source: RNAcentral